This 399-nucleotide ribosomal RNA is filed under the name Mesotaenium berggrenii. Its description in RNAcentral is "partial small subunit ribosomal RNA". It matches the Rfam family "Eukaryotic small subunit ribosomal RNA", at positions 30 to 432 of the family's 1831-position model. The record is from RNAcentral. Lineage: Eukaryota; Viridiplantae; Streptophyta; Zygnematophyceae; Zygnematales; Mesotaeniaceae.
GCUUGUCUCAAAGAUUAAGCCAUGCAUGUCUAAGUAUAAGCUAUUUAUACGAGUGAAACUGCGAAUGGCUCAUUAUAUCAGUUAUAGUUUAUUUGAUGGUACUUACUACAUGGAUAACCGUAGUAAUUCUAGAGCUAAUACAUGCAUCAAACCCCGACUUCUGGAAGGGGUGUAUUUAUUAGAUUGAAACCAAUGCGGGGCAACCCGGUAUCUGGUGAUUCAUAAUAACUCCUCGAAUCGCAUGGCCUUGCGCCGGCGAUGUUUCAUUCAAAUUUCUGCCCUAUCAAUUUGAUGGUAGGAUAGAGGCCUACCAUGGUGGUAACGGGUGACGGAGAAUUAGGGUUCGAUUCCGGAGAGGGAGCCUGAGAAACGGCUACCACAUCCAAGGAAGGCAGCAGG